RNAcentral lists this ribosomal RNA (481 nucleotides) under uncultured bacterium. RNAcentral describes it as "bacterial SSU rRNA". It matches the Rfam family "Bacterial small subunit ribosomal RNA", at positions 30 to 507 of the family's 1533-position model. The record is from RNAcentral.
UUGAACGCUGGCGGCAUGCCUUACACAUGCAAGUCGAACGGCAGCGGACCUUCGGGUGCCGGCGAGUGGCGAACGGGUGAGUAAUAUAUCGGAACGUACCUUUCAGUGGGGGAUAACGUAGCGAAAGUUACGCUAAUACCGCAUAUUCUGUGAGCAGGAAAGCAGGGGAUCGCAAGACCUUGCGCUGAUUGAGCGGCCGAUAUCAGAUUAGCUAGUUGGUGAGGUAAAGGCUCACCAAGGCGACGAUCUGUAGCGGGUCUGAGAGGAUGAUCCGCCACACUGGAACUGAGACACGGUCCAGACUCCUACGGGAGGCAGCAGUGGGGAAUUUUGGACAAUGGGCGCAAGCCUGAUCCAGCCAUGCCGCGUGAGUGAAGAAGGCCUUCGGGUUGUAAAGCUCUUUCAGUCGAGAAGAAAAGGCUGCAGUGAAUAACUGUAGUUUAUGACGGUAUCGACAGAAGAAGCACCGGCUAACUACGUG